AUGGAUGAUGUGGACGAUGUCCUAAAGACUGUCAACUUCUUUAGGGAGAUGAAAGCUAUAAACAGGGAAUUCUUCUGUGACAUGCAACUCGAUGAGUCCGACAGAGUUAAGAACAUAUUCUGGGCGAAUGCAAGCUGCCGAGGGGCCUAUCAGGACUUCAGUGACUGUGUAACAUUUGACACCACAUAUAAGACCAACAAGUACCAUAUGCCACUUGGGGUGUUUGUCGGUACUAACAACCACUUACAGACUACAUUCUUUUGUUUCGCCCUGAUAAGAGAUGAGGAUGCAGAUUCAUUCAGAUGGUUGUUCAAGACAUUUUUAAGGUGCAUGAGAGGGAAGGCUCCUACAUGCAUCCUCACAGACCAGUGCCCGGCAAUGGCUUUGGCGAUCCCAGAUGCUUUCGGGAACACAGUACACAAGCUGUGCCGCUGGCACAUUAUGAAGAAGUACAGGGAACACCUCGCAUACCUGUACUACCUGCACGAAGACUUUAAGGAUGAAUUCACAUCAAUCCUCAACUGGCCCCUCAUGCCAACUGAGUUUGAGGAUGCCUGGAAAGGACUCAUGGAUAGGUACAACCUCCAUGAUGAUGCAACGAUGGUGGCCAUGUGGAACGAGCGUGAGAAAUGGAUAUCAGCCUACUUCAAAUAA
Molecule: ribosomal RNA, 654 nt
Filed under: Triticum aestivum (bread wheat)
Lineage: Eukaryota; Viridiplantae; Streptophyta; Magnoliopsida; Poales; Poaceae
Description: partial small subunit ribosomal RNA
Source: RNAcentral